GACGAACGCUGGCGGCGUGCUUAACACAUGCAAGUCGAACGGAAAGGCCCUGCUUUUGUGGGGUGCUCGAGUGGCGAACGGGUGAGUAACACGUGAGUAACCUACCCUUGACUUUGGGAUAACUUCAGGAAACUGGGGCUAAUACCGGAUAGGAGCUCCUGCUGCAUGGUGGGGGUUGGAAAGUUUCGGCGGUUGGGGAUGGACUCGCGGCUUAUCAGCUUGUUGGUGGGGUAGUGGCUUACCAAGGCUUUGACGGGUAGCCGGCCUGAGAGGGUGACCGGCCACAUUGGGACCGAGAUACGGCCCAGACUCCUACGGGAGGCAGCAGUGGGGAAUAUUGCACAAUGGGCGGAAGCCUGAUGCAGCAACGCCGCGUGCGGGAUGACGGCCUUCGGGUUGUAAACCGCUUUCGCCUGUGACGAAGCGUGAGUGACGGUAAUGGGUAAAGAAGCACCGGCUAACUACGUG
This 468-nucleotide ribosomal RNA is filed under the name uncultured bacterium. RNAcentral describes it as "partial 16S ribosomal RNA". It matches the Rfam family "Bacterial small subunit ribosomal RNA", at positions 28 to 507 of the family's 1533-position model. The record is from RNAcentral.